UGGAGAGUUUGAUCCUGGCUCAGGACGAACGCUGGCGGCGUGCUUAACACAUGCAAGUCGAACGAUGAAGCCCAGCUUGCUGGGUGGAUUAGUGGCGAACGGGUGAGUAACACGUGAGUAACCUGCCCUUGACUUCGGGAUAACUCCGGGAAACCGGGGCUAAUACCGGAUAUGAGCUACCUUCGCAUGGGGGUGGUUGGAAAGUUUUUCGGUCAGGGAUGGGCUCGCGGCCUAUCAGCUUGUUGGUGGGGUGAUGGCCUACCAAGGCGACGACGGGUAGCCGGCCUGAGAGGGCGACCGGCCACACUGGGACUGAGACACGGCCCAGACUCCUACGGGAGGCAGCAGUGGGGAAUAUUGCACAAUGGGCGCAAGCCUGAUGCAGCGACGCCGCGUGAGGGAUGAAGGCCUUCGGGUUGUAAACCUCUUUCAGCAGGGAAGAAGCGCAAGUGACGGUACCUGCAGAAGAAGCGCCGGCUAACUACGUGCCAGCAGCCGCGGUA
Molecule: ribosomal RNA, 503 nt
Filed under: Cellulosimicrobium cellulans
Lineage: Bacteria; Bacillati; Actinomycetota; Actinomycetes; Micrococcales; Promicromonosporaceae
Description: bacterial SSU rRNA
Rfam family: Bacterial small subunit ribosomal RNA
Source: RNAcentral